UUAAAAAGCUCGUAGUUGGAUUUCUGAUUCUUGUCGUUGGUUGGGCGGCCGCGUGUCGCUCGCCUCGCACAGGAGUCAACAUAUGUCACGAGCCAGUGUGAUCUAUUCAUUUAGGUCCGCUGGGUAAUGACUCGUUUACUUUGAGAAAAUUAGAGUGUUCAAAGCAGGCAUUUGCCUUGAAUAUGUUAGCAUGGAAUAAUAGCAUAGGACUUCGGUUCUAUUUGUUGGUUGUUCGAGAACUGGAGUAAUGAUUGAUAGGGACGGUUGGGGGCAUCUGUAUUCUCAAGCGAGAGGUGAAAUUCUUGGACCUUGGGAAGACAAACAGCUGCGAAAGCGUUCGCCUAGGACGUUCUCUUUAAUCAAGAACGAAAGUUGGGGGAUCGAAGACGAUCAGAUACCGUCGUAGUCUCAACUAUAAACUAUGCCAGCUAGGGAUCGGUGGGUCUUUGUCACGAGUCCAUCGGCACCUUACGAGAAAUCAAAGCAUUUGGGUUCCGGGGGGAGUAUGGUCGCAUGGCUGAAACUUAAAGGAAUUGACGGAAGGGCACCACCAGGAGUGGAGCCUGUGGCUUAA
RNAcentral lists this ribosomal RNA (574 nucleotides) under uncultured marine eukaryote. Its description in RNAcentral is "bacterial SSU rRNA". It matches the Rfam family "Eukaryotic small subunit ribosomal RNA", at positions 619 to 1193 of the family's 1831-position model. The record is from RNAcentral.